Molecule: ribosomal RNA, 402 nt
Filed under: uncultured bacterium
Lineage: Bacteria
Description: partial 16S ribosomal RNA
Rfam family: Bacterial small subunit ribosomal RNA
Source: RNAcentral
AUUGAACGCUGGCGGCAGGCCUAACACAUGCAAGUCGAGCGAGCGGCGGACGGGUGAGUAAUGUAUGGGGACUGCCCGAUAGAGGGGGAUAACUAAUGGAAACGGUAGCUAAUACCGCAUACUAUCGGAUAACCCAUAUGGGAUUAGCUAGUAGGUGAGGUAAUGGCUCACCUAGGCGACGAUCCCUCGCUGGUCUGAGAGGAUGAUCAGCAAACCUGGCACUGAGCACCGGCCAAGACUCCAACGGAGCCAGCAGUGGGAAAUAUUGCAAAAUGGGUCCAAGCCUGAUGCAGCCAUGCGUCGUGUAUGAAGAAGGCCCUAGGGUUGUAAAGUACUUUCAGUCGGGAGGCGUUACCGACAGAAGAAGCACGGGCUAACUCCGUGCCAUCAGCCGCGGUAAUA